Rattus norvegicus (Norway rat) is the source of this 112-nucleotide small nucleolar RNA. Ensembl annotates it as small nucleolar RNA SNORA17. Lineage: Eukaryota; Metazoa; Chordata; Mammalia; Rodentia; Muridae. The record is from Ensembl.
UUUCAUACAUAUGCUGUAUCUAUGUCAUAUGUGCAUCAGUCAGGAAGGAAAAGCUAUGUCUGUACUCAGUGUGCUGAUCUAUGAACAUUUGAAUUAUUAGUACUAUAACACA